RNAcentral lists this ribosomal RNA (433 nucleotides) under uncultured bacterium. Its description in RNAcentral is "partial 16S ribosomal RNA". It matches the Rfam family "Bacterial small subunit ribosomal RNA", at positions 29 to 507 of the family's 1533-position model. The record is from RNAcentral.
AGCGAACGCUGGCGGCAGGCCUAACACAUGCAAGUCGAACGAACUCUUCGGAGUUAGUGGCGGACGGGUGAGUAACACGUGGGAACGUGCCUUUUGGUUCGGAAUAACUCAGGGAAACUUGUGCUAAUACCGAAUGUGCCCUUCGGGGGAAAGAUUUAUCGCCAUUAGAGCGGCCCGCGUCUGAUUAGCUAGUUGGUGAGGUAACGGCUCACCAAGGCGACGAUCAGUAGCUGGUCUGAGAGGAUGACCAGCCACACUGGGACUGGGACACGGCCCAGACUCCUACGGGAGGCAGCAGUGGGGAAUCUUGCGCAAUGGGCGAAAGCCUGACGCAGCCAUGCCGCGUGAAUGAUGAAGGUCUUAGGAUUGUAAAAUUCUUUCACCGGGGACGAUAAUGACGGUACCCGGAGAAGAAGCCCCGGCUAACUUCGUG